RNAcentral lists this ribosomal RNA (253 nucleotides) under uncultured bacterium. Its description in RNAcentral is "partial 16S ribosomal RNA". It matches the Rfam family "Bacterial small subunit ribosomal RNA", at positions 524 to 776 of the family's 1533-position model. The record is from RNAcentral.
GACAGAGGGUGCAAACGUUGUUCGGAAUUACUGGGCGUAAAGCGCGUGUAGGCGGCCAUGCAAGUCGGAUGUGAAAGCCCUCGGCUCAACCGGGGAAGUGCACUCGAAACUGCAAGGCUAGAGUCUCGGAGAGGAUCGUGGAAUUCCCGGUGUAGCGGUGAAAUGCGCAGAUAUCGGGAAGAACACCCGUGGCGAAGGCGGUUCUCUGGGACGGUACUGACGCUGAGACGCGAAAGCGUGGGGAGCGAACAGG